AGAACGAACGCUGGCGGCGUGGAUAAGACAUGCAAGUCGAACGCUGAUUUGUGGGUAGCAAUAUUCGCAAGUCGGAGUGGCGCAAGGGUGCGUAACACGUGGGUAAUUUGCCGUGAAGCUUGGAAUAACUCGCUGAAAGGCGAGCUAAUGCCGGAUGUGAUUUCUGGAGGGCAUCCUCUGGAACUCAAAGCUGGGGACCGCAAGGCCUGGCACUUCACGAUAAGCCCGCGGCCUAUCAGCUAGUUGGUGAGGUAACGGCUCACCAAGGCUAAGACGGGUAGCUGGUCUGAGAGGACGACCAGCCACACUGGAACUGAGACACGGUCCAGACACCUACGGGUGGCAGCAGUCGAGAAUUUUUCGCAAUGGGCGAAAGCCUGAUGGAGCGACGCCGCGUGGGGGAUGAAUGGCUUCGGCCCGUAAACCCCUGUCAUUCGCGAACAAUGCCUGCGGCUUAAUACGUUGCAGGUUGAUAGUAGCGGAAGAGGAAGGGACGGCUAACUCUGUGCCAGCAGCCGCGGUAAUACAGAGGUCCCAAGCGUUGUUCGGAUUCACUGGGCGUAAAGGGUGCGUAGGUGGUCGGGUAAGUCUGACGUGAAAUCUCCGAGCUUAACUCGGAAACGGCGUCGGAUACUAUUCGGCUCGAGGGUUGGAGGGGGGACUGGAAUACUUGGUGUAGCAGUGAAAUGCGUAGAUAUCAAGUGGAACACCAGUGGCGAAGGCGAGUCCCUGGACAACUCCUGACGCUGAGGCACGAAAGCUAGGGGAGCAAACAGGAUUAGAUACCCUGGUAGUCCUAGCCGUAAACGGUGCACGUUUGCUGUAAGAGGAAUCGACCCCUUUUGUGGCGAAGCUAACGCGUUAAACGUGCCGCCUGGGAAGUACGGUCGCAAGAUUAAA
RNAcentral lists this ribosomal RNA (900 nucleotides) under uncultured bacterium. Its description in RNAcentral is "bacterial SSU rRNA". It matches the Rfam family "Bacterial small subunit ribosomal RNA", at positions 26 to 898 of the family's 1533-position model. The record is from RNAcentral.